This 301-nucleotide ribosomal RNA is filed under the name uncultured bacterium. RNAcentral describes it as "partial 16S ribosomal RNA". It matches the Rfam family "Archaeal small subunit ribosomal RNA", at positions 459 to 760 of the family's 1478-position model. The record is from RNAcentral.
CAGUCGCCGCGGUAACACCAGCACCUCGAGUGGUCAGGAGGUUUAUUGGGCCUAAAGCAUCCGUAGCCGGUUGCAUAAGUUUUCGGUUAAAUCUAUGCGCUUAACGUAUAGGCCGCCGAAAAUACUGUGCAGCUAGGGAGUGGGAGAGGUACACGGUACUCGAUAGGAAGGGGUAAAAUCCUUUGAUCUAUUGAUGACCACCUGUGGCGAAGGCGGUGUACCAGAACACGUUCGACGGUGAGGGAUGAAAGCUGGGGGAGCAAACCGGAUUAGAUACCCCAGUAGUCCCUGUCUCUUAUAA